GGCGGGGUGGCGGAGGGGUACACGCGGCCGGCUGCAGACCGGCUCUACGUGGGUUCGAAUCCCACCCCCGCCUCCA
Molecule: transfer RNA, 76 nt
Filed under: archaeon
Lineage: Archaea
Also listed under: 1 other name
Description: tRNA-Cys
Rfam family: tRNA
About the family: Transfer RNA (tRNA) molecules are approximately 80 nucleotides in length. Their secondary structure includes four short double-helical elements and three loops (D, anti-codon, and T loops). Further hydrogen bonds mediate the characteristic L-shaped molecular structure. tRNAs have two regions of fundamental functional importance: the anti-codon, which is responsible for specific mRNA codon recognition, and the 3' end, to which the tRNAs corresponding amino acid is attached (by aminoacyl-tRNA synthetases). tRNAs cope with the degeneracy of the genetic code in two manners: having more than one tRNA (with a specific anti-codon) for a particular amino acid; and 'wobble' base-pairing, i.e. permitting non-standard base-pairing at the 3rd anti-codon position.
Source: RNAcentral